CCGGGACCAGGGGCCGACGAUGGCCAACCGCCCGGGCAGCAAGUACGAGGCGGUGCCGUCCUUCUCCGACUACGGCCGCGGCGGAGAUCGAGGUGGUGGCGGUUAUGGUUAUGGUGACAGGCGAGGGGACGACCGGUACGGAAGUCGAGACGACCGCUACGGGGAUAGAGAUCGAGGAGGAGGCGGUGGCUUUGGCUAUGACAGACGAGGCGACGACCGAUACGGAAGUCGAGACGACCGCUACGGGGAUAGAGGUAUGGCCCGACCCACGUUUUCACCAGUGUAAACAACAGCAAUUUGCUUCUGGAUGCCAACUGCCGUGAUAGCGUCGUACGUUCGUGUUUCGUGGG
Molecule: unclassified non-coding RNA, 350 nt
Filed under: Pollicipes pollicipes
Lineage: Eukaryota; Metazoa; Arthropoda; Thecostraca; Pollicipedomorpha; Pollicipedidae
Description: transformer-2 protein homolog, transcript variant X4
Source: RNAcentral